RNAcentral lists this ribosomal RNA (783 nucleotides) under Rhodococcus sp. (in: high G+C Gram-positive bacteria). Its description in RNAcentral is "bacterial SSU rRNA". It matches the Rfam family "Bacterial small subunit ribosomal RNA", at positions 56 to 855 of the family's 1533-position model. The record is from RNAcentral. Lineage: Bacteria; Bacillati; Actinomycetota; Actinomycetes; Mycobacteriales; Nocardiaceae.
UGCAGUCGACGGUAAGGCCCCUUCGGGGGUACCGAGUGGCGAACGGGUGAGUAACACGUGGGUGAUCUGCCCUGCACUCUGGGAUAAGCCUGGGAAACUGGGUCUAAUACCGGAUAUGAGCUCCUGUCGCAUGGCGGGGGUUGGAAAGGUUUACUGGUGCAGGAUGGGCCCGCGGCCUAUCAGCUUGUUGGUGGGGUAAUGGCCUACCAAGGCGACGACGGGUAGCCGGCCUGAGAGGGCGACCGGCCACACUGGGACUGAGACACGGCCCAGACUCCUACGGGAGGCAGCAGUGGGGAAUAUUGCACAAUGGGCGAAAGCCUGAUGCAGCGACGCCGCGUGAGGGAUGACGGCCUUCGGGUUGUAAACCUCUUUCAGCAGGGACGAAGCGAGAGUGACGGUACCUGCAGAAGAAGCACCGGCCAACUACGUGCCAGCAGCCGCGGUAAUACGUAGGGUGCGAGCGUUGUCCGGAAUUACUGGGCGUAAAGAGCUCGUAGGCGGUUUGUCGCGUCGUCCGUGAAAACUUGGGGCUCAACCCCAAGCUUGCGGGCGAUACGGGCAGACUUGAGUACUGCAGGGGAGACUGGAAUUCCUGGUGUAGCGGUGAAAUGCGCAGAUAUCAGGAGGAACACCGGUGGCGAAGGCGGGUCUCUGGGCAGUAACUGACGCUGAGGAGCGAAAGCGUGGGUAGCGAACAGGAUUAGAUACCCUGGUAGUCCACGCCGUAAACGGUGGGCGCUAGGUGUGGGUUUCCUUCCACGGGAUCCGUGCCGUAGCUAA